GAACAAGACUGGUUACUCGCAUCAAUGCCUCUGUCUCGUCAUUUAACAUUCAGACAUGGUGUCAGAGUCGGAUAAUUAACCAUGCUUUUUGCAAAGUAGAGCCAGCCACCUGUUCUGGUUUACCCCCUAAAAAAUGCUUAUUUGAGUAAAACUUUGCCGGAUGCCGGAAUAUUCCUUAGCUAGAGUGAGUUUGCUAGUUAGCUUCAGUGUUGUUAGCACCAGUUAGACAUGGCAGCGAACAUUCCCCCUCCCGCCGUUAUGAAGCUUAGCGGAGACUGGAGCACAAACUGGGAUACGUUUAGAGGUGAAUGGGAGGACUAUGCACUAGCAACGGGACUUCAGGAAAAGGACGAUGAGGUAGUGGCUGCCACUUUGAGGACUAUAAUGGGAACAGAAUGCCGACACGUAUACAAACACAACCUGAACCUAACAGCAGCUCAGCAAGAGCAUACAACCAUGCUGACAACCAUCCGUGGAGAUCAGUGGACAAAGGGCUGGACAACAAGCCACACUGAAAAAACGCAUGGUUCCACAGAAUACCAACUGGGAUGGAUCCCGAGGCAAAUGUGGCUUCUUCAUCAACAUCUUUAUGAUUUCGUUAAUAAAAUAAUGAUAGAACCAUCGCUCCUGGGUUCCAAUGGUG
This 643-nucleotide long non-coding RNA is filed under the name Salmo salar (Atlantic salmon). RNAcentral describes it as "lncRNA (ENSSSAG00000082799.1)". The record is from RNAcentral. Lineage: Eukaryota; Metazoa; Chordata; Actinopteri; Salmoniformes; Salmonidae.